Molecule: ribosomal RNA, 500 nt
Filed under: uncultured bacterium
Lineage: Bacteria
Description: partial 16S ribosomal RNA
Rfam family: Bacterial small subunit ribosomal RNA
Source: RNAcentral
AUUGAACGCUGGCGGCAUGCUUUACACAUGCAAGUCGAACGGCACCACGGACUUCGGUCUGGUGGCGAGUGGCGAACGGGUGAGUAAUAUAUCGGAACGUGCCCAGUCGUGGGGGAUAACGUAGUGAAAAUUACGCUAAUACCGCAUACGAUCUAUGGAUGAAAGCGGGGGAUCGCAAGACCUCGCGCGAUUGGAGCGGCCGAUAUCAGAUUAGGUAGUUGGUGAGGUAAAGGCUCACCAAGCCGACGAUCUGUAGCUGGUCUGAGAGGACGACCAGCCACACUGGAACUGAGACACGGUCCAGACUCCUACGGGAGGCAGCAGUGGGGAAUUUUGGACAAUGGACGCAAGUCUGAUCCAGCCAUUCCGCGUGCAGGACGAAGGCCUUCGGGUUGUAAACUGCUUUUGUACAGAACGAAAAGGUCUCUAUUAAUACUAGGGGCUCAUGACGGUACUGUAAGAAUAAGCACCGGCUAACUACGUGCCAGCCGCCGCGGUAA